RNAcentral lists this small RNA (296 nucleotides) under Paraphaeosphaeria sporulosa. RNAcentral's name for it is "5' ureB small RNA". It matches the Rfam family "5' ureB small RNA". The record is from Rfam by way of RNAcentral. Lineage: Eukaryota; Fungi; Ascomycota; Dothideomycetes; Pleosporales; Didymosphaeriaceae.
CUUCCUGAGCCUGUUGAGGACAGAUGAAGUGGAUGUGAGUAUCGAAACCACCGGCAGUGACAAUGCUAUGUUCGCCCGCAAUCACAUCUGUGCAGUUUCCGACUACGAGGUUGGGAUCUACGCCGUCCAUCACAUCCGGGUUUCCGGCUUUGCCUACACCUGUGAUCACUCCGUCUUUGAUGCCUAUAUCAGCCUUGUAUAUCCCUGUCCAGUCGACUAUCAGAGCGUUCGUAAUCACAGUAUCCAAACAUUCGUUAUCAGAUCUUCCGCCUGCCUGGCCCAUGCCUUCUCUCAAG